This is a non-coding RNA of Phoenix dactylifera (date palm), 4364 nucleotides long. NCBI's taxonomy places the organism in Eukaryota, Viridiplantae, Streptophyta, Magnoliopsida, Arecales, Arecaceae. The record is from RefSeq and is a predicted model, not a curated record.
CCCCCGCCCCGAUCCGGCGGCCUGCCGGAAACGGGGCGGGGGUCGUGACAAUAUGGCUUUCAGAGAGUGAGGGGUGAUGAUAUAUUUUCGGCAAAAUAUAGUGGAAGAGGGUAUUUGGGGUAUGCAUGUGCAAUUUGGAAGGGGGGAAGCCGAUGUGUAUCUAUGAGUACUAUGCCUAUUUAGCCAAAUUUAAGUGUUUAUGAUGUGUGUGACAUAUAGAAUCGUUAGAGGUAACUUGAGUAAUUAAAGCAAAGAGAGAGGGGGCUCGGUUCUGAACUAGGUCGACUCAAUGAGAACCGGUUCGAACGGAACCGGCUGGUUUCAAAUGGUUCCGGCCAGUUUCGGUCGGUUCGGAACCCAUUUCGACCGAUUCGAGGUCAGAACCGAUUUUAAUGGGCGAAUCAAUCCGGUUCCCCAUUGGGUCGGCUCGGUACGGGCCGAACCGGACGGUUCGGUCUGCUUUGGCCUAUCUUUCUCUCGAGAGUUUUCCGAGCCGAAGAGGGAGUGCUCUCUCAAUUUUUCUAAGCUGGGGAGGGGAACCGAAUCAAAUGCUUGAACUGUGCUAGUCCCCAAACAAUUUGGUUUAGUACUAUGGCUGGUUCGGCAUGUUUCGGCAAACAUUGUAGUUAUCCAUUGAAUAACAAAGCCUGUUGAUUAAUUUUGUUGUUUCCCUACUAGUUUUAUAGCAAUUCUCUCAGUUGUAUUCAUUACUAGAAAGAACUAUCAUACCUUUUACUUUCUCUUUUGAAUUGAAAAUUCUACCAAGUGCGUGACAAUCAAUUUAAGUUUUCAUGAAAUUGAAAAUUUCCAUUGGCAAAAUCACUCCAAUGUGGAGAAGUUGGGAGUCUUAACUAGUUUGCUGCCCAGAUAACUAUGCAGAGUAGUUGCUGAAGGUAGCAUGAAACUUUUCAUCAACAGCUAAUAGAGUAUCAAAAGGCACAAUUAGCUGGGUAAAAGGCAAACUUUUCUUGGAUAACAAGUACUGUUGAGAGCAAGGUCUGAUGAACCGGCCCGUACCGGCCGAUUCGGACCGGUCCAGCCUGUACAGAAUUUGGCUGGAGACGAAGAAGACGAAGAGAAGGAGAGAGAGCGCGGGGAAGAGAAGGAGGGAGGAGACCUGUGGCCGCCAUCGGAGAGUCGCAGAGGGGCGGCGGAGCCCGCGGGGGCGCGGCUGAGGCCGCGGCCGCGUCCCUGUUUUGAAUCGCCGUGCCUUCGCGGGCUCCGCCGCCCCUCCGCAGCUCUCCGAUGGCGGUCAUAGGUCUCCUCCCUCCCUCUCUUCUCUGCGCUUUCUCUCCUUCUCUUUUUCUUCCCCGGCUCCAGCGAGGAAGAGCCGGCCGGUUCCAGUAGGAACCGGAACCGUAUCGGUCCGAUAGGCGGCUAGUAAGCCAAUCGGACUUGGUACGACGAACCUUGGUUGAGAGAAUACAGGAUUAUGAGCCUUAAAUGCAAUAAAAGGUCAUAAUAAUUUCUCAUCCCACAGAGAUUUUGAAGACAUUGCUUUUUAUGGGUGGUUUGCAUAAGUGCUUGCCAGACAUCUCAAUAUCUCUUCAUUUUUGUAAUUACUUCAUAUAUCAUUGACACGAUUGAUAACAAUUUGCUUAAGUAGAUUGAAAUAAAUGCUGUUCUCUUCUUUUGCAUCUCCUGAAUCAGAUGAUUUUGCAUCUCGGCAGUUGUUUCAGCAGCAUGUGGGAUCAAGGAUGAGUAAUGUUGUUACUGCUGGAUUCAAAAAUGAAAGUCAGAUUGGAAAUGCCUAUGGUAAGCUUGCGUUAGUUAUGUUUUUUUCUUCGCUUUUUAUAAUUCUUCACUGAAUAGUUCUUCAUGUUUGGUUUAAGAAGUCAACGGAAAGUAUUUGUAAGAUUUGAAGUCACUUUAUUUGCAUUUUUCUGGAAUUCAAGUUAUCAGGGGUACUUCAUGUUCUUUUAAUUGGCAAUUGUCUGUAAUUUACUGCUCAUAUUGAAUCCUUGCAUAUUCUAUCCUUCCUGUUGGUCAUUAACAUACUCAUCAAAUAACUAUCAAACAGAAGAUAAAUCUGUUUAUGACACUGCUUUCUUCUUCUAUAAUUAUCUUCAUACCUAGGUUGUGCUCUUUUUUAUUUCACUCGAACAACUUAAACUUUUAAGUGGCUUAAUGUGGAAAAUAGAAAAUAAAACCAUGGUCUGCUGUACAACCCCAUAUGGGGCGUACCAUAUUAUACCGGAAGAAAACUGGUAUGAAAAUCAACUUUGAGUCAGUACACAUCCCAUACCACCCCGUACCGAAAUACCACCUUGUACCGAGGCAUACCGGCCUGUACCGAGGUGUGUACCAACCUAUACUGAAGUGCACCGACCUGUAUCGAGGCGUACCAAGAUAUAGAUUGAGAAAAAUGGGUAGAAAGGUAUUUCAGUACAGGGUGCGUACCGUACUGUACCGUGCUAAACCGAUAAGGUACCUAUAUAGUACCCGAUACUGAGAUUGCGGAUCUUUAAGAAAACCAAUUACUAAGUCACUUCACUAAUACCUCUACUAUGGUGUGGACAUGGUAAAGGCAAUCUGAAAUGAUUGAUCAAAUUUGAGCAAGAGAAAUUUGUGAUCUGCAAUUUUUCUUUAUGUCGCAAUAGUUUUCUAUAGUUUCCUACUAAUCAAGGUUUUAAAUGAGCACGGAUUAUACAAUAUGAGAAGCAAUGUGAAGGAAGACUGUAGUAUGAUUAAGUGUAUCUUGACUGCAAUGUGACAUCCAACGAAAUUCUUGCUUAGUUAAACUCAUUUUUUCAUGGCAUAUACAUCCAACUCAGCUUUAGACUACAGAGUCAGUUUUCCAGAUAAAUUGACUUGUUUGCAGCUGGUUUGAUAUAUCAAAUCUCCUGAAGAUGAAAUCUGGCUGUUCAUAUGGUUCACUGACUUCAGUAGUCAUAGUCGCAGAUGAGUACCCUCCUGGAAAUCAUGCAUCUGCAUAGCUACACUUAAGUAGGAUAGUUGUGCAUAUUGCUAGACCUAUUAAAACUUGUUUCUCUGCCUUAUCUAUAUAAUGACUAUGAUUGAAGAAAUUGUGACUUGCUUCUUGGUAUAUUCUAAUAGUCACCUUUAUUUCUUCCUAGUCAAUCAAACAAAUAAACCGAUAAAUCAUAUAACAUACAUCCAUACUUGCAUUUGAAUGACCCUCACCUUGAUUUAUAUUUUAUACUAGUAUACUUAUGCAAGAAGUGCUGUUGUGAUAAUUUUGUUGGUGACAACAUUUCUCAUGAUCCCAAAAAUGCUUCUGGCCUGAAAGAGCCACUGGAUCCCUGACCUCAGCUUUGCCAUUCUAUCUUUUGCUGGUUGAGGUCAUAUAUUUCUCUGCUUACUGUUCAAGGUUGAUCAAGGUGGUUGGUUCCGCUUGUCUUUGCGGCAGCCUUCCUCAUUAUGUAUGGCAUUAUUGCACCAUGUUGCGGUAUGAAGUCCAAGAUGCAAAGCAAUGUCUCAAUUGCCUGGUCAUGAGCCUUGAUCCUGGCUUAGGCCUGGUUGGGGUCCCGGGAAUAGACUGUGUACACUGAACUGGCCAGUGGUGUUCCUAUUUCUUCUCCCACUUCAUAACCAACCUCCCUGCCAUCCACACUGUUGUUGUCAUUUUUGCAUCCGCACUGUUAUUGCCAUCCAAGGUCUCAACGGUCUGGAUCAUGAUCCUUGGUCCUGGCUUAAGCCUGGUUGGGGUCCCCGGAAUAAGCUUUGUGUACACUGUACUGGUCGGUGGUGUUCCUCAUUUCUUCUCCCACUUCAUAACCAACCUCCCUGCCAUCCACACUUUUGUUGUCAUUGUUGUGUUUUGCUGUGUUGCAAGGUAUGGAUACAGAGACCUUCACAGGAAAGAUAGCUUUGAGAAGAUGCUGUUUGAUAGCCUCACCUUUUAUGUUCAAAUGGAAUCCAUGAUGGAUAAUACUUUUAUUCAGUAGAGAGUAGCUUAUGCAAGCAGCAACAGAACGAGAAGCCAAUGUUUCUGCUAAACACUCAUCAACACUCGAUUCCAUCGUUCCUGUCAAAUCUUCAUGGUGGAGAAACCGUCAGGUUAGAUGAUGAAGUCGAGCACAACAUUUACUGUGGAUGAUGAGUUAAAAUUUCUGAAUGAGUGUAGGGAUGCUGCGGUGGCGCACAUGCUGGGGAACACAAUCGUGGGUGCUCAAAGGGAUUUGCUGUUUUUCAAAAAAAAAUGCUAUCAAUUACAUAAAUGCAUUCCCUAGGAUUUAUAGGGAGAAUAUUGUGAUGUUCAAUGCUCCCCAUGAGAGUCUAUUAAAUGUUUGGCAGAUAUUCUAUGUAUAGAUCAUCUGACUGACAAUGUGUAUGUGUUUUGGCAUGCUUUUGAGUGAGAAAUCUGAGCCCUUCUUUUCUGCUGGGAUGAUAAAAUGUUCAAA